This 246-nucleotide unclassified non-coding RNA is filed under the name Hevea brasiliensis (rubber tree). The record is from RNAcentral. Lineage: Eukaryota; Viridiplantae; Streptophyta; Magnoliopsida; Malpighiales; Euphorbiaceae.
GCGCAGGGCUGAUCAGAGUCGCUGGGCUGAAUGCACAUGCUCCGGGCGCACGCCGAUCCCGAGCAAUCGGGCCGUCUGCCCCUGCAACCAAGGAAUUGCAGUGAUCAGCCGGGCGACCAACGGCGGCUUCAAGUCCUCGCCCGAAAGCGCCCGGUUGAUGAUGUUGUCCUGAAUGACCGUUUGCAUGGUUUGCGUCAUUCGCGCGGGGAACAAGCGGCGGCGUUGAACCUGUUCCAGGUCUUCGAG